This is a long non-coding RNA of Uranotaenia lowii, 634 nucleotides long. RefSeq lists it as uncharacterized. NCBI's taxonomy places the organism in Eukaryota, Metazoa, Arthropoda, Insecta, Diptera, Culicidae. The transcript has 3 exons. The record is from RefSeq and is a predicted model, not a curated record.
UUGGUAUUUUUAGUAGAACUGCUAAAAUUGCUGUUUUUUAACCGUUAUGAAUUGUUCAAUUUUAACCAUUUUCCGAGUUCAUGAAGAAAUUUUUGAUUAUGGUUGAAAUUCAACAAAAAAAUGCGUGAAAAAACAGUCGCCAUGUUUGCAAUCGCAGAAGUGUUUGUUUUGUUUCUGGUUCCGCGUUGGACUUAGAUUAUAUAAAUCUCCUUAAAGAUUUAAGAUUAAAGAUAACACAAACUAUGAAAGUUGGAGCAAAUAUGGGUUAUGUUAUCUGGAGUCGGAAGCAGCAGCAGUCCCGCCGAAGACAGCUCCAGCUGCCGUCAUAUGUUAGGAAUGUUCCGAAACUCUCUACGUUUGCUGCAUCAGAAGGUUCCGAAAAUAUGCUGGGAAUCACCGGCACUAGAAUCACAGAAGAGCGGGAAACUGAACAUCGCAGGAAAGGCAGCACCGCAUCAUCCGUAACUGUGAUAGCAGUGCCGAAGCAAUCAUUCCCCCGGCCGGCUAAACUUUCUUCCGCUAAUGCAACUUAGUAGUGCCAGUAGACCACUCUUUUACUAGCAUCAAGCAGAUACCAGUGAGGGCAAUCAAAAAUCAAUGUUUAAUAUAAAAAAAUCUGUUGAAAAUCUGAUUG